GAAGCUGGAUUCGCUAGUAAUCGCGCAUCAGCCACGGCGCGGUGAAUACGUUCCCGGGCCUUGUACACACCGCCCGUCAAGCCAUGGAAGCCGGGGGGUGCCUGAAGUGCGCUGCCGCGAGGAGCGCCCUAGGGUAAAACCGGUGACUGGGGCUAAGUCGUAACAAGGUAAC
This 172-nucleotide ribosomal RNA is filed under the name uncultured bacterium. Its description in RNAcentral is "partial 16S ribosomal RNA". It matches the Rfam family "Bacterial small subunit ribosomal RNA", at positions 1322 to 1500 of the family's 1533-position model. The record is from RNAcentral.